This is a non-coding RNA of Vicia faba (fava bean), 231 nucleotides long. The record is from the annotation of a GenBank genome assembly. Lineage: Eukaryota; Viridiplantae; Streptophyta; Magnoliopsida; Fabales; Fabaceae.
AUGGCUGAUGGAUGUUUGCUACGCCGCUGCGGUGAUGAUUGUUUCCGACCCGAGCAUGAUUCUCCGCCGCCAAAAGUUCUUGCUAAUGCAUCUCACGCUUCACCAUUAACAAUUGGGAACUUCAUUGUUGCAGUUCUUCUUACACAACUUCAUGUUGAAUUACUUGUUCACAAUGAUUAUGUUAGUCUUUACUUGAAGAUAGUCUGGGUUGGGCUUAAGGUGUCAAUGUAA